This 648-nucleotide long non-coding RNA is filed under the name Sorghum bicolor (sorghum). Its description in RNAcentral is "long non-coding RNA (SBIC_LNC014886)". Lineage: Eukaryota; Viridiplantae; Streptophyta; Magnoliopsida; Poales; Poaceae. The record is from RNAcentral.
CACCACUCCUCUCUCUUUGACUAAGCUGUCACCCACGCCCGAGUGCCCCAAAGCCGGCAUGCACUCUCGCUGUUAAUGUUGUACUGGAUCAUAUCUUUCGGGGUAUUAACCUUAGGGGUGAGUCUUAAGGUCCUUCAGAGGCAAAACCAAAUAAUAUGAAUUGAAUGAGAAGGCCAGGAGAUAUAUUAGGGCUCAAUAUUGAUACUGUCCCAUCAACUAUUGCUGACACCAAUAUUUACAUGGGAGACAAGUAGUAAUCAAGAUUGCUGGAACUCUCUGCAUCUGCAUUUUGAUGCAAAGUAAGAAUCGUAUGAUAUUUUCAGUGCCUUGAAGUCACAACGAUAAAUGAUAACAUUUUUUACAGGCAUAUCCCCUUCUCCCCAACGUUGCAGGGAAUAUCUUCCAGGCGCUCACCAUGUUGUAUUUUUUAUUAUUUCUCAAUGCAUAUACAUAUACACAAGUGCAUUUGUAACCUUUUUAUUUGUUUGUUUCCUUUUUUCCCUGAGCUUGCGAUCCUAAGCUUUGUCUACAUAUAAUAACUUAUAUAACCAGUAGGGGGCAAGCCCUCAUAAUUUUACAAAAAAUAUGAAACAAUUUAUUGCACAAAAAAUUUUCACAGUGAGGUAUACAUCUAGCACAAGGAGGUUG